This 492-nucleotide ribosomal RNA is filed under the name uncultured bacterium. Its description in RNAcentral is "partial 16S ribosomal RNA". It matches the Rfam family "Bacterial small subunit ribosomal RNA", at positions 29 to 507 of the family's 1533-position model. The record is from RNAcentral.
AGUGAACGCUGGCGGUAGGCCUAACACAUGCAAGUCGAACGGCAGCACAGUAAGAGCUUGCUCUUACGGGUGGCGAGUGGCGGACGGGUGAGGAAUACAUCGGAAUCUACUUUUUCGUGGGGGAUAACGUAGGGAAACUUACGCUAAUACCGCAUACGACCUACGGGUGAAAGCAGGGGAUCUUCGGACCUUGCGCGAUUGAAUGAGCCGAUGUCGGAUUAGCUAGUUGGCGGGGUAAAGGCCCACCAAGGCGACGAUCCGUAGCUGGUCUGAGAGGAUGAUCAGCCACACUAGAACUGAAGCACGGUCCAGACUCCUACGGGAGGCAGCAGUGGGGAAUAUUGGACAAUGGGCGCAAGCCUGAUCCAGCCAUACCGCGUGAGUGAAGAAGGCCUUCGGGUUGUAAAGCCCUUUUGUUGGGGAAGAAAAGCAGCAGGUUAAUACCCCGCUGUUCUGACGGUACCCAAAGAAUAAGCACCGGCUAACUUCGUG